GUAAUCUUUGACUAUGUACAGAUUCAGUGAGCAUAGCCCUUUCUAGGGAGUUUUUCCUAGCCACCGUGCUUCUACACCUGCAUUGCUUGCUGUUUGGGGUUUUAGGCUGGGUUUCUGUACAGCACUUUGAGAUAUCAGCUGAUGUAAGAAGGGCUAUAUAAAUACAUUUGAUUUGAUUUGAUUUGCAUAGCCUGGCUCUCAAGAGAAGACAGGCUAUGUGCACACUGCCCACAAAAUGAGGUGGAAACUAAGCUACACUUCCUAACUUCCUGCCAAAUGUAUGACCAUAUUAGAGACACAUAUUUCCCUCAGAUUACACAGACCCACAAAGAAUUCAAAAACAAAUCCAAUUUUGAUAAACUCCCACAUCUAUUAGAAGAAUGGUGCCAGACGGGAUGACUGCCGUUUAACUUGCUCUUAACCAACUGUGCUAUUUUCUUUGUUUUUUCAUGUUGUUUGUAACUUAUUUUUUAACUUAUUUUGUACAUAAUGUUGCUGCUACCGUCUCUUAUGACUGAAAAUAACUUCUGGCAUCAGAACAGCGAUUACUCACCUCGAACUAGACAAAGAAUUAUACUUUAACGAGUCCGACGCAAAGGUUAUACUGCUUUCUCUGGAACAGGCCCAAAUCCCCGUCCUUUGCGUGAAGAAAAGAUGGAGAAAAAGGGAGCGGCGGUCGGGAUGCCUUCUGAGAAUUCGUAGGCGAUCCUUACCGGUUUUGACCGUUCUACCUGCCCUGACCCUGAGACUGCCUGCCGUUCUGGACCUUUUGCACCCUCUCUGGAUUACUGACCUCUGCCGGCCUUUGACCUGUCGUUUGCCUGCCCCUGUACUAGAAAUAAACUUGUGUUUCUUUGACACUGUCAUACCUUAAACCUGAUAAGCGACACAUAAUUCCCUCAGAUUACACAGAUCCACAAAGAAUUUGAAAACAAACCCAAUUUUGAUAAACUCCCAUAUCUUUUGGUUGAAAUAGCACAGUGUGCCAUCACAGCAGCAAUAUGUGUGACCUGUUGCCACAAGAAAAGGGCCAACCAGUGAAGAACAAACACCACUGUUAAUACAACCCAUAUUUAUGUUUAUUCUUUUCCCCCCUUUCCCCCUUUCCACUUGUAAUUAUUAUUAUUUUGGAACUUCUAUGAGUGUAAUGUUUAGUGUUAAUUUUUAUUGUUUAUUUCAAUUUUGUUUAUUAUCUACUUCACUUGCUUUGGCAAUGUUAAAAUAUGUUUCCCAUGCCAAUACAGCCCUUG
This 1250-nucleotide long non-coding RNA is filed under the name Salmo salar (Atlantic salmon). Its description in RNAcentral is "lncRNA (ENSSSAG00000090959.1)". Lineage: Eukaryota; Metazoa; Chordata; Actinopteri; Salmoniformes; Salmonidae. The record is from RNAcentral.